RNAcentral lists this long non-coding RNA (2796 nucleotides) under Nicotiana tabacum (common tobacco). RNAcentral describes it as "long non-coding RNA (NTAB_LNC004555)". Lineage: Eukaryota; Viridiplantae; Streptophyta; Magnoliopsida; Solanales; Solanaceae. The record is from RNAcentral.
AACAAGGUUUGUUUCGAUAGAUAUGUAUAUACAGAGUAAUGAACAAUAAUAUUUAUCGUCUAACAAUGAGAGGGAGGAAGGGAUGGACUCUCGAUAUUUGGGCCAGUAGGUAGUCAAGCCCAACAAAAUUCUCACAAGUAGCAGACUCCAAAGAGCAGGAAAAGAAAUGACCCAGGUCUGGAAGUUGGGCUUGAUCUUCAAAUGGUCUCAGCAGGCCCAAUUCAAAUAUGCAUGGUAAAAAGAAAGAGGGAACAAUUAGUAUACAUCAACAUAAGAAGCAAAAUAAAUUAUGGAAGGUAAGUAAAGAUCUGAAAAGACAUAGUAUGAUUCUAGUUUUCAUUUUUCUGCCAACCCUAUGAAGAUUAGUUAAGGUUAAUGAUCAAACGCUUAGGGUGAACCAUAUUUUAUUUAUGAAAUCUCCUAUGGACACCUUACACUUCAGAGUUCACAAGGGUCUCAAGGACCCCGAGCAGUGCUUGUUCCAGGGAGGAGUACCUCGAUAACAAAACAAGUUCACACCCAAAUACCCUUAGUCAUCCACUCUUACUAUUCCUCAAAGGCUUAGACAUAAAUGAAACUGUCAACUACUUGAAAUAAAUAGCUAUAGAGGACAUUACAUUAUCAUUAGAGUACCAAGAUAUGAACGGCUCAGAACCAUUCACAAUAUUAACCUUGGGGCAUGUUGGCAGAACACUAAUACAAAGAUAGAUCACUACAACUAAACUUCUAGUAUUCCAAUAAUAUCAGGGGCCUUAAGGCUGAUCCUAGCAUGCAUAAGAGAACUUAAGUGGAUCAUAACUAAGAUGCAGUCAUAGAACAAAGAGAACUAGUUGCAUAUUAUCAGUAGGUAGGUGCUAGAUUUAAUCACCUCAAAUUCAAAAAUGCCCUAACUUUGUUCAUUCUAUUAAAGGUUUAGUACUUUAGGAUCUUUAAAUAGAUUCAGAUUACUUAGAGCAAGUCAAUAGGUAUUUUAAUAGAUUUUCAGAACAGUUUAGAGCAAAUAUAUAUAUAUAUAACUGAGAUUCCACAUCACUAAGCACUUAUACUUGCAGCCUUGUUCAGACUUUCUAAGGAUGAGAGCAACCAACAGGGACACCAACAUGAAUAUAAAGAUUAGUUUAGUCUUUUUAGACCUAAUGACAUGAUGUCUUGUUGUAACAACACAUAGUCUAUCAGAUUUUCAAACUACCAGAUCCAAACUAUUUUAGAUUCUCAAUUAAGUUCUUCUAUAAACAGUGAUGUCAACAAACAUGAGAUGGCAAACAAUGACAGUCAUUUCAAUUUGCAAGGGGUAAGGCAAACAUAUCACAAUGAGUUUACUUGAACAUAUGAGUAGUUCUACUAGCAAGUUACACCAACAAACUUUCAUUUUAGAUCCUACAUGCAUAAUACAUGUUCAUCAAUAUUCAGUCAAGUUAUUGAGUUAUUGAGGCAGGCAGUACUCAAGUUGACAAGAGGAGUCUUCCUAAACAGUGUCUUGAGCAUUACAUGAUCUUGAGAGAACUAGAAAACAUAAAUGGCCAAAACAACAAGUAGAUAAUUAAUAUCAUUUUAGAUGAACAAAUAAGAUUAUAGUGAUACCUUAGGUCAACAUUUGUCAAGUAUUCACAAUUUAUGAGGCUAUCAUGAUAGACUACUUUCUUUUAGCUGAACAAAACCAACAUGAGGCCAAAUAUGGCUGUUAUAUAAAGUUUCCAACUUAGGCAGAUAGAUUAGCAUAAUAGGGUAGGCAUGCUGUUGGGAAGACCUUUUGAAUUACCAAGGAAUCACAUGCAAGUUGACGUAGUAGUUUGAACAUGGAACUUUCUCAACUAAAGGGAAUAUGGAGGUCCAUGAACAUCACUGGAUCAACAAAAAUCAAGCAAGUGAGUGUAGAUUCAAGCAUAGAGGUCAAACAUGAGUCAUUUAAUAAAUUUAGAAAUAUAAGUGAUAUACAGCUACAUCACAAAGCUCAGACAGGCUAUGGGAGUAUCAGAAGGUAAAAGUAUACAUUUCAGCAGGUAAAAGAAACAAGGUGAAGAAGGGUACGAGGUACCCAGUUAGUGAAGAUUAUCAAUGGGUAGUGGGCAGGCCAUGUGAUAGCUAUGCUAACAGGUUCACCACAUUAUUCCAUACUAGAAUGAUAUACUUUCAUGAAUUACUAAAUAUGCAGAACAAACAUGGUUUCAACUACAGGACUGUCAACCAAGGUCAUCAAGCAGACAAAUCAAAUGUAAGACAUAAACUAUAAUUAGAAUCACUUUUUAUUGAACCAAAACAAUAUGAAAUAGCAUCACAAACAUAAGGAUCAAUAUAGCAUAGUGCAAAAUAUGUAAAGUUUUAACAGAACAUCAAGAGGAGCUUAAAAACACAACUCAAUCGAUUUAGCUAACAUGUUAGUAUAGCUAUUAUUUAACUGACAUGGAUGGAACACACAUAGUAUAAACAUAAGGUUUAGCCCAACUAAUCAUAAGGUUCAACAGGAUUUGUUCAUAAGAGUAUCAACUACACAGAAAUAUUUUAUCUAGCCAAGUUAUGAGGGAUGAAAUUCAUUAGCAACAUAGAUUGGAUAGCAGUAUCAGAACAACCUAACUUAUCAGGAACUUAUCAUCUCAACAAUGAAAAUGGCAUGAAAAAAUAGAACAUAAUAAGUAUAGUCAUAUACCACUAAUGUAUAUCAUAAACGAAAGGUGAUUAACAGAAAAAAUAUCACAAAAUUUCACAAUUAAGAUAUAGAGACAGGGUCAACAUACACUGACCUUCUUUAGAGCAGCAAACCAAGUAGGAGUCGAUUAUUAACUAUUUUGGGAUCCAAAC